GAUGAACGCUAGCGGCAGGCCUAAUACAUGCAAGUCGAGGGGCAGCAUAGUAGCAAUACUGAUGGCGACCGGCGCACGGGUGCGUAACGCGUAUGCAACCUACCCAUUACUGAGGGAUAGCCCGGAGAAAUUCGGAUUAAUACCUCAUGGUAUCAAGGACAGGCAUUUGUUUUUGAUUAAAGAUUUAUCGGUAAUGGAUGGGCAUGCGUCAGAUUAGCUAGUUGGCGGGGUAACGGCCCACCAAGGCGAUGAUCUGUAGGGGGUCUGAGAGGAUGAUCCCCCACACUGGUACUGAGAUACGGACCAGACUCCUACGGGAGGCAGCAGUAGGGAAUAUUGGUCAAUGGGCGAGAGCCUGAACCAGCCAUGCCGCGUGCAGGAAGAAGGCCCUCUGGGUUGUAAACUGCUUUUGACCAGGGCCAAAAUACUCAUGCGUGAGGAAUUGAGAGUACUGGUAGAAUAAGCACCGGCUAACUCCGUGCCAGCAGCCG
This 491-nucleotide ribosomal RNA is filed under the name uncultured bacterium. RNAcentral describes it as "bacterial SSU rRNA". It matches the Rfam family "Bacterial small subunit ribosomal RNA", at positions 28 to 517 of the family's 1533-position model. The record is from RNAcentral.